CUUUGAAAUCAACUAAUUUAGUUCAAGCUCAAGUUCAAGUGACCUGUUCUGACGGACAUAAGCGCUUAAUCGGAGUAUGUCGCUCAAUAUAUCACAAUAUAGUGUUUCGAGUGCGGUUGUCCCAACAGCAUCGGAGAGAAUUAUCAUUAACGUAUAGAAGUUAACAAGCGCGCGACGAGAUAUAGGCGAUAAUUUAAUCUAUAAAUAAUAAUUGAUGUGACAAUAUGCUGUAUCGCGAGAAACUGGUCUUCGCGGUUCUUCUACUGUUCUAUUGUGUGUUUGAAAUAAGCUAACCACGUUUGUUUUGGUAAAAUUUUGCAGUAAUGCGGAGUGAUCACCAAGAAAUUGUCUAAAUAUUAAACUUCGAAUGACGAAAAAGAAGGUUUGAGUUCAAAUCCGACCAUCAAAUUGUCACCAACCUUUCGAACAAUGAGCGAUGACGUUGUGGUAGAACAGGUGAUCGAAACAAAUAUUACCACUUUGGACUGUUUGAUGCUGCUUGGGUUCCUUCUGAUGGUAAUGAUCGUAGCUGUUAUUCUCAGAUUGGUUCUGGAAUUGGCCCGAGCCCGUAUGACGACAGAUCAGCAAUAUGAAGAGCAGCACAGGGAUGGAUCCUGGUUCAGUUUGGUAUUUGCAAGACAGUGGUGGCGAUGAUUGUAGGAAAUAAGAACGAAUAUUCAAAGUCCCAUAUUCUAUGCCUUCGGUGCGGCUAUAAAAGGA
Long non-coding RNA from Malaya genurostris, 720 nucleotides. RefSeq lists it as uncharacterized. The record is from RefSeq and is a predicted model, not a curated record. The transcript is spliced from 2 exons. Lineage: Eukaryota; Metazoa; Arthropoda; Insecta; Diptera; Culicidae.